This 223-nucleotide small RNA is filed under the name Salmonella enterica subsp. arizonae serovar 62:z4,z23:-. Its description in RNAcentral is "Salmonella enterica subsp. arizonae serovar 62:z4,z23:-- isrH Hfq binding RNA". It matches the Rfam family "isrH Hfq binding RNA". The record is from Rfam by way of RNAcentral. Lineage: Bacteria; Pseudomonadati; Pseudomonadota; Gammaproteobacteria; Enterobacterales; Enterobacteriaceae.
GGGGAUAUUCAGUGCCCCCCCCUAAGGGGGCUGGUAACGCGUAGAUACAAGUGAUAUGACUGUAUAAUCAGUCACUUCGCUACCUGUCAUGCUACUGCGCGUUAGCGGUCAUGGUUGGCCAGAUAGGACAGGUUAUUGCAGAGAGGAGUGCCGCGUUUAUGCUUGAUGGAUAAGCGGUUUCAGUUAUUAGGGCGAUGGCGCCGGAGGGGGCCCGGCGCUUUUU